Molecule: small nuclear RNA, 116 nt
Filed under: Pogona vitticeps (central bearded dragon)
Lineage: Eukaryota; Metazoa; Chordata; Lepidosauria; Squamata; Agamidae
Description: U5 spliceosomal RNA (ENSPVIG00000012437.1)
Rfam family: U5 spliceosomal RNA
About the family: U5 RNA is a component of both types of known spliceosome. The precise function of this molecule is unknown, though it is known that the 5' loop is required for splice site selection and p220 binding, and that both the 3' stem-loop and the Sm site are important for Sm protein binding and cap methylation.
Source: RNAcentral
AUACUCUGUUUUCUCUUCAGAUCAUAUAAAUCUUUCGCCUUUUACUAAAGAUUUCCGUGGAGAGGAACAUUUAUGAGUUUGUAACUGAAGAUUGGUAUUGUGAAGUAUGGGACAUU